RNAcentral lists this ribosomal RNA (573 nucleotides) under uncultured bacterium. RNAcentral describes it as "bacterial SSU rRNA". It matches the Rfam family "Bacterial small subunit ribosomal RNA", at positions 272 to 842 of the family's 1533-position model. The record is from RNAcentral.
GCCGACGAUGCGUAGGGGUUCUGAGAGGAAGGCCCCCCACACUGGUACUGAGACACGGACCAGACUCCUACGGGAGGCAGCAGUGAGGAAUAUUGGUCAAUGGCCGAGAGGCUGAACCAGCCAAGUCGCGUGAGGGAAGAAUGUCCUAAGGAUUGUAAACCUCUUUUGUCGGGGAGCAAAAAGGCUCUGCGGAGUCGUAUUGAGAGUACCCGAAGAAAAAGCAUCGGCUAACUCCGUGCCAGCAGCCGCGGUAAUACGGAGGAUGCGAGCGUUAUCCGGAUUUAUUGGGUUUAAAGGGUGCGCAGGCGGCGUGUCAAGCAAGCGGUAAAAUAGCGGGGCUCAACCCCGUCGAGCCGUUUGAACUGGCGCGCUUGAGUUCAGGCGAGGUAGGCGGAAUUCGUGGUGUAGCGGUGAAAUGCAUAGAUAUCACGAAGAACUCCGAUUGCGAAGGCAGCUUACCAGUCUGCGACUGACGCUCAGGCACGAAAGUGUGGGUAUCGAACAGGAUUAGAUACCCUGGUAGUCCACACAGUAAACGAUGAGCGCUAGGUGUCCGGGUCGCAUGAGACUUGG